RNAcentral lists this ribosomal RNA (664 nucleotides) under uncultured Actinomycetes bacterium. Its description in RNAcentral is "bacterial SSU rRNA". It matches the Rfam family "Bacterial small subunit ribosomal RNA", at positions 63 to 743 of the family's 1533-position model. Lineage: Bacteria; Bacillati; Actinomycetota; Actinomycetes. The record is from RNAcentral.
CGAGCGGAAAGGCCACUUCGGUGGUACUCGAGCGGCGAACGGGUGAGUAACACGUGAGUAAUCUGCCCCUGGCUUCGGGAUAGCCACCGGAAACGGUGAUCAAUACCGGAUAUGACAGACCCUCGCAUGGGGGUGUGUGGAAAGUUUUUCGGCCAGGGAUGUGCUCGCGGCCUAUCAGCUUGAUGGUGAGGUAAUGGCUCACCAUGGCUUCGACGGGUAGCCGGCCUGAGAGGGUGACCGGCCACACUGGGACUGAGACACGGCCCAGACUCCUACGGGAGGCAGCAGUGGGGAAUAUUGGACAAUGGGCGGAAGCCUGAUCCAGCAACGCCGCGUGAGGGAUGACGGCCUUCGGGUUGUAAACCUCUUUCAGUACCGACGAAGCGCAAGUGACGGUAGGUACAGAAGAAGCACCGGCCAACUACGUGCCAGCAGCCGCGGUAAUACGUAGGGUGCGAGCGUUGUCCGGAAUUAUUGGGCGUAAAGGGCUCGUAGGCGGUUUGUCGCGUCGGGAGUGAAAACGCCGUGCUUAACACGGCGCUUGCUUCCGAUACGGGCAGACUAGAGGUAUUCAGGGGAGAACGGAAUUCCUGGUGUAGCGGUGAAAUGCGCAGAUAUCAGGAGGAACACCGGUGGCGAAGGCGGUUCUCUGGGAAUGACCUGA